UUGAUUUCUGUUGGUUUGUUGUAUAAUAUUAAUCAAUUAGUUGGAAAUUUAUUUACCAGAUAAAGUAAAUUUUGUAGUGCAGUGCCACGCUAGUAGUGGAAUUUAUACGUUAUAGUGAAAAUUAUGAGACUAUAAACUAAAACAAUUUUGCAUUGAAAAUAUAUGAUUUUCGGCGGUGAUAAAAAAAAACCUUAAAAUGAGCAGCGGGAGUGCCGACCUGAGCGACGGGGGCGACGGGGCGUGGGCGCUGGAAGGGGUCUCGCCGGAGCAGGAGGAGGGGCAGCCGGCCGCCGACUGGCAGUCUUCGCCCACACAGGAGCACAGAGACCUGAGCCUGCACUUGCAGGACGACGUGUUCACCGCCGACACCAAGUGUCUGCUGAGGUAGCAAGCUGGCGGCGCCCCGCCCCUCCCUCCGGCUCCUCCGAGUCGGGAGCGACCGCGGGCCUCGCCGGGCAUCGAAGAAACAAGGGCGUAGGACCCCUCUCCCUGCACCCCUGCCCCGUGAAGUGGUGUUCCAGCGCACGGUACGCUUUGGAAGGUAUGACAAAUUAAAAAAAGCUUCAAUUCAGGUAUCGAACUUCCGUUCACGCCAAAGCCUUUCAGAGAUUAACGGGAACUGAACGACAUUUUUUUUUGAGUGCAUGGAUUAGAAUUAUUUUGUGUUGACACUUGAAGUGAACUGGUGCAAGUUAAGGAGGAAUAAACUUGUGUCACGCGUGUGACUUUAGAUUUACAUUAAUGUCUGUAUCACGAUAAUGUUCUGAGUGAAAUUUUGUUCAUUUUUUGUUAACUAAUUUAUUUUAUGCAAAAUUUCUUACGCCUAAUAGUAGUAUUUGUAAGAUUUGGACAGGACAUGGAAAAUUUAAAACUACUUAAAUGGAUAAUUUUGUCAAAUUUACUAUGAAAAAUAGUUAAAUUAAAAAAACAAAUUGUAAUUCUGUCACCCUUUAACAUUCUAUUUAAAAAUAUCUACAUUCACUAUAAAUUAGGUACAUUUAAAUACAUAUAGAUGAAGCUAUUAGAAAGGAUUUUAAUAUGAUAUAUUUUAAAGAAUAUUCAUACUUAACACCAGUUCCCUCAAUUUAUUCAUAUUACUCAUAAACUCAUACAAUAAUUGGACUUAAUUAUUAACAGUUGUAAAUGUUUUUCAACUCACCAUUACAUUGUUGGUUAAGCCGAGUAUUUUAGUAAAUUCUUUAACUAUAUAAAUAACCAUACAUACUCAUUGUCCUUCAUCAUUCUUUGCACCUUUAUUUUUAUUUUUUUAUAAAUCACAUAUUUAGGGUAACCAAGCAUUGAAAUAUUUAAUUUAGUUUUUCCCACCAUUUCUCAGUGAAAUUAGUUUUUGAAAAAUCAUUAUUUUUUUCUGUUAUUAUUUGUAUACAUUUUCAAUUGAGCAAAUUAAUAUUCAAAAUUCAAUAACUUAUGAUCUGCUGUACACAAGAUAUUUUUAUGACUUUUCGUGGAUUGCAAUUUAUAAUUGAAAUGUAUUGAAAUAAAUAUCAGAUGCAAUAUUACAGUACAGUCAAUAUCAAGAAAUAGGUGUAUUACAAGAAAUUUCUAACCCACUACAGUAGAAUCUCGUUAUAGCGAGCACGGUAAUAGCGAGAACACGGCUAUAACGAGGUAUUUUUGAGGAAUUUACGGCGUGAUCGCUUGAAGCGCGUUUUUUUUGUCUGCUUUAUCUCCACCCCUCUCGCUUGCCACUAGACAUCUUGCCGUUGACGCCUGUCACAUUCUUCAGCCUUGCAGUCACCACCUAAGUGCGUGGCUUUAAAAAUAGAAUCCCGUCCUUUGUUUUAUCAAACUUCCGUUAGUUAUCUGUGCCGUGUGUAGACAAAGUUUGAGAUUGGAACAGAAACAACGUAAGAAAGUAUUUUUUACAAAUUAGAAAUAUGUAUGUUUUUGUUUUUAUAAUCGCGUAUUUUCACGUUUUUUGUUAUCAUCUUAAAAGAGAUAAUAAUAAAAAGCCGCUCUAAUGAGAUUUAAUUGUUUCUUGGUUAACAAAAACUAUUAAUUAUCAAAUAUUGUUAAUUGUUUAUAUUCUAUUUAUUAUUAUUUACGCGACGUCAUACUGUACGCGUACGCAAUACGACUGGAUUCAUUGCUGCAACAUAACAUAGCAUGUUAUGCAGUAUCAGAAGUAACGAGUAACGUAACUAAUUGUUACAGUAACGAAUACAUACGGGUACACAUUUUUUCGUUACUUUUACACCUCUAGUAGGCACUACCGUAUUUAUUUCCGAAUCGCUAGGGCAGUUUUCUUGUAACUUUUGUUUCGGUCAAUUGUUGGGUAUUUGUCCGGGAAAGGGGUGGUGAUGGUUUGAGUUUAAUCCCAAAUUUAUUUUCUAAACAAGUUUACAGGUUUCUUUAAAUGAAAAAGUAUAGUUUUCCAGCGACUAUUUCGUUUGAGGCGUACGUGCGUUGCCGCAGCCGCACUCCUGCUAUUUUGUAAGGAAUUAAAUCGUCGCGCUACACUAGCACCACCUGUUAGCAACAUUCCGAACCAACAUGGCCGCCAGCAGACAGCCCGCGUCGACACUAGAUAGCAGGACAAUGCUGCGUCGGCCGCGGGCUGAGAUGCUAUACUUACGUGGCGUGGUAGGGUAUUCUGGCAAUUUUGACGCAAUCGGUGAUCGCAUCCAUACUUAUGGGGUAUCGUUUUAAAGAGAAUUCACACAUCUGCUCACAGAAAUUAAUAUUUCGUUAAUAUAACCUGUUAUUUUCCAAUUAUACAGGUUUAAACACAAUUUUUAUGCUAUUUUCGGUUAAUUUUAAUUUUUGGGGGCCAAAAUUUGUCCAAUUCGGUUAUAGCAAGGACACGGUUAUAGCGAGGAUCAAACCCGGAACCGUGACACCUCGUUAUAACGGGACUCUAGUGUAUGUGUCUUGUGUUUAUUUUGCUGCUGAACAAUUUGAACUAGAUGUAGAAGUGAAUUAUCCAAUUUUCAAACCUCACAUGAGUAACGCCCUUACCUUUACAUAACAACAUGACAGACUGCAUUGUCCUCCUAAAGUUUCCUAUCUAUAAACAUAUGAUGAUUAGUAUUUAUAAUAGUGUUAGUGUGUGUGAUAGAGUACAAUAAGGUUUUCGCAGUUUAACAGAAUGCAUCCCCUUCACAGGAACAUUAUGUAGAAAUAACGGCGAAGACAUAGCAAUCUGCAAAUUAUUGUAAGCUCAGAAAACCAUCCGCCCUUCAUUCCAGCCAUUGAUGAUUUCUUACUAAAGAUGUAAAUGUUAUUUUUCCCCUCCCUUUUCUUAAACAUACCACUACUAAAAAUAUUUGUACAGUUUUUUUUUUUAUCUUACCACUACUGCUGUCUCACAUCACCACUUACAGUGGGGAAAAAAAAACAUGUUUAAUGACAGAAUAUGUGCCAAUUUAAUUAAUACUAUUGAGAAGUGGAAGUGUUAACAUCUGUGAUGUCAGCUACUUGUAAAAAGUUUACCUGAUCAUAUAUUUCAAUUAAAUGCAUUAACAAUAAAAUCACUGUAAUAAAAAAUAUCACCUACGCACAUAAAUACCUGUGAUAAUUAAUCUUGCUUUAUACAUCUCUCAAGUGAGGUAGACAUUACUGUUGAAGAACUAAAUUUUUUGGGAACGUUUUAACAGUUCACGUGUAUUAAAAGUUGUUGCUGUAUGUUAACUGUUAGUGUCUGAUUAUUCACAACUGCAUAUGGUCAGUUACAUUAUACAUAGUUCAAACUAUCCAGUGGGUCAGCCAGGUAGCACUUUUAACUAGUAUUUACAUUGCUCUUUAUGUUUAUUUUAUUUGUAAUCAACUACAUAAUUGCAACUUAAAUCCACAACAUAAAUAUUUUCAUAAUGUAAGUGUGUAAGAGAUCUUGUUUGGUUAAAAUAAGAAUAUGACUCACUUUUAUACUUAAUCUUUUACAUGUUUCAAGGAUGAGGCUUCGAAAUGACCCAUCAUGCACUUGUCCAUAAACAAAAUAAUUUUUCAAUUGUUCAACUUUCAUAUAAAUAACUUCUUUUGCAUUCCUAAAAAAAAUUAAUAGUUUGCUGAGGGUAUAUUGAAAUACAUAUGUGAUGAAAACCUUCAUUUAUUCCUAUUUAUGUAACUAAGCAUUUACAUGAUUUUAGGUAUUGUAUUAUAUCAACUAUUACCAAUGUACAUAUCAUUAAUAAAAACUAAUUUUGCUGCUGUCUUGCAA
Molecule: long non-coding RNA, 4177 nt
Organism: Bacillus rossius redtenbacheri
Lineage: Eukaryota; Metazoa; Arthropoda; Insecta; Phasmatodea; Bacillidae
Exons: 3
Source: RefSeq, a predicted model, not a curated record